AUUGAACGCUGGCGGCAGGCCUAACACAUGCAAGUCGAGCGGUAGAGAGGUGCUUGCAUCUCUUGAGAGCGGCGGACGGGUGAGUAAUGCCUAGGAAUCUGCCUAGUGGUGGGGGAUAACGUUCGGAAACGGACGCUAAUACCGCAUACGUCCUACGGGAGGAAAGACGGGGGGAGUCUUCGGACCUCGCGCCAUUAGAUGAGCCUAGGUCGGAUUAGCUAGUUGGUGAGGUAAUGGCUCACCAAGGCGACGAUCCGUAACUGGUCUGAGAGGAUGAUCAGUCACACUGGAACUGAGACACGGUCCAGACUCCUACGGGAGGCAGCAGUGGGGAAUAUUGGGACAAAUGGGCGAAAGCCUGAUCCAGCCAUGCCGCGUGUGUGAAGAAGGUCUUCGG
RNAcentral lists this ribosomal RNA (397 nucleotides) under uncultured bacterium. RNAcentral's name for it is "bacterial SSU rRNA". It matches the Rfam family "Bacterial small subunit ribosomal RNA", at positions 30 to 421 of the family's 1533-position model. The record is from RNAcentral.